UGGGCAACCUGCCCCUGACACUGGGAUAACCCCCGGGGAAACCGGAGCUAAUACCGGAUACGCUCGGCCGAUCACAUGGCUGGCCGAGGAAAGGUCCGCCGGUCAGGGAUGGGCCCGCGGCCUAUCAGCUUGUUGGCGAGGUAACGGCUCACCAAGGCGACGACGGGUAGCCGGCCUGAGAGGGCGAUCGGCCACACUGGGACUGAGACACGGCCCAGACUCCUACGGGAGGCA
RNAcentral lists this ribosomal RNA (234 nucleotides) under uncultured bacterium. Its description in RNAcentral is "partial 16S ribosomal RNA". It matches the Rfam family "Bacterial small subunit ribosomal RNA", at positions 118 to 350 of the family's 1533-position model. The record is from RNAcentral.